UGACGUUCAAAUAAACCUGUAACACAGAAAGAGAAACAGGCAGGGAGAAAGGCCCACCCACCCAGUCCAAAAUAAACCUCUCAGUCACUUACCACGGUGAUAAAUAUAUCUGCCGAGAGUACAUUCCAGUCGAGUUCCCGUGAUGGAGCUAAAGUGAGUGGUGAAGUUCCGUCAAAAGCCCCUUAACCCCACAUGCACCGUAACCCGUAAAUGGGAAAAAGAAUUUCCAUGUCAGCAACAUGUGAGCCGGAGUCACAUUUCCGAGAAAGACACUACAGAAAAAAUAAGCAAGCUGACCUAAUCUACAAGUGCCGGAUGAGGCUCGGGGGGUAAUGAGAAGAUCUAACAGACAACAACACAGAAAGCAGCAGCUAUGAAGACAUAGAGGUGAAGCAGUUCACCCACCUCCUGCAAGUGGUGAUGUCAACAUUUCUGCAAGUCAAAACCGCUGUAGUUGUUUGUCCUGCCUGUAGGGGGCGCAGGUGGACGUGCUUUGAACUUAUGCCUCAGCAGUGAGACCCUUUGAGGAAAAUCAGCUGUCUACCAAAUGUGAAUUUCAAACUUGUUUCGUUAG
Molecule: long non-coding RNA, 574 nt
Organism: Gasterosteus aculeatus aculeatus (three-spined stickleback)
Lineage: Eukaryota; Metazoa; Chordata; Actinopteri; Perciformes; Gasterosteidae
Source: Ensembl